GAUGAACGCUAGCUACAGGCUUAACACAUGCAAGUCGAGGGGCAGCAUGAACUUAGCUUGCCUAAGUUUGAUGGCGACCGGCGCACGGGUGAGUAACACGUAUCCAACCUUCCGUUUACUCAGGGAUAGCCUUUCGAAAGAAAGAUUAAUACCUGAUAGUAUGGUGAGAUUGCAUGAUAGCACCAUUAAAGAUUUAUUGGUAAACGAUGGGGAUGCGUUCCAUUAGGUAGUAGGCGGGGUAACGGCCCACCUAGCCGACGAUGGAUAGGGGGUUCUGAGAGGAAGGUCCCCCACAUUGGAACUGAGACACGGUCCAAACUCCUACGGGAGGCAGCAGUGAGGAAUAUUGGUCAAUGGGCGAGAGCCUGAACCAGCCAAGUAGCGUGAAGGAUGAAGGUCCUACGGAUUGUAAACUUCUUUUAUACGGGAAUAAAGUAUCCUACGUGUAGGAUUUUGUAUGUACCGUAUGAAUAAGCAUCGGCUAACUCCGUG
This 492-nucleotide ribosomal RNA is filed under the name uncultured bacterium. RNAcentral's name for it is "bacterial SSU rRNA". It matches the Rfam family "Bacterial small subunit ribosomal RNA", at positions 28 to 507 of the family's 1533-position model. The record is from RNAcentral.